AUGAGAGGAGAGAGAGAGAUAUAUUCAGUGUGUGCUCGAACUCAGCCGGCUCCUUUUCCCCAGGAAGGCCCGCUGGGGCCCCCAAGGCCAGCUCUGCGUGGCCGUGACCCCCCCAGCACCCUGCGGGGCCCUGCCCGAGGCGGCAGCGAGGGCACGGCCGGGCCGGGGCCGGCCUCAAGGGCACGGCGGGGCGGCACCGGACAGCGCCGGGCCGCGGCUCCCCGUCUGUCCGUGUAUAUGUACGGGGGGCCCGGGGCUGCCGCCUCCCCCCCGCAGCACGGCCCCGGCCCCGCCGNNNNNNNNNNNNNNNNNNNNGGGACGGGGCCCGUCGUGGGCCGGCCCCGCUGGGCGGCGGGCCCCGGGCGGGUCCCGCAGGGAACGGUUCCUUCCCCCGCCGCACCGCCUGCCCGGGGCAUGCCGCCCGCCUGUAGCGUAGGGAGCAGGCACGGCUGCGGCGGUGGGGGAGCCUUGACAGAACCAAGCAAGAAGCUGGCAGGCAGCUGCUGUCUGAACCUGUAAGUGGUCGGGAUUUGGUGCUCAGCAUCGUGUUGGGGUGCGUCUUGGAAAGAACCUGCUGUUUUUGGAAAGAAUCCGCGUGUUCGCCUCUAGCUAAUGCUGUCGAAAUAGCAGCUUUAGAGGGUGAGCGCUGUUUAUCAGAAACAAGGAAAAGCCGAGGAAAAAUGAUGUUUCUGGGAGCGUGGUGCAUGCUGUAAAGUUUUCCUGUAACCACUCGGUACUGCUGCUUGAUUUCGCCGUGUCCUGUUCUGCCUCUGCUUGCCUGGAAUGCACCGCUCCCUGCCAGCCACCCCUGGAGCAAGCCGGUGUCUCUCAGCCCUGGGAUUCAAGAGAAGAGGCUUAAAUUGCUGCUGACUGAUGGCGGGACAAAAAAAAGCCUAUGCCUGGAGAUAGGAAAUGCAAGGCUUAGAGGCCGAAGGUGUCAGAAAUCAGUGGGGAACGCGCAUGCAAAAUAUCUGAAAUUAGUAGAGAAAGCGACUAUGAAAGGAAUGCUGUGAGCAUGUGAGGGACCCGGGAUAAACGGAGUUAGGAGUGUGUGAAGUAAUAGGUUUGGCUGCUUAUGGUGGCUGGGUGCACCAGUGAGAAAGCUGUAGAGGAGAUGGGCUUAUGAGUGCUGGAUUCUUGAAGUAAGCUGGGGGGAUAGAACCAAGGAACUGUGUAUUUAAGUUUCUUAAUUCAUAGUUUUUAUCAGACAAUAAAUAAACUUCCAAUCUGCA
RNAcentral lists this long non-coding RNA (1232 nucleotides) under Anser cygnoides (Swan goose). RNAcentral describes it as "lncRNA (ENSACDG00005001519.1)". The record is from RNAcentral. Lineage: Eukaryota; Metazoa; Chordata; Aves; Anseriformes; Anatidae.